RNAcentral lists this ribosomal RNA (442 nucleotides) under uncultured bacterium. Its description in RNAcentral is "bacterial SSU rRNA". It matches the Rfam family "Bacterial small subunit ribosomal RNA", at positions 958 to 1398 of the family's 1533-position model. The record is from RNAcentral.
AACGCGAAGAACCUUACCUGGGUUAAAUCCACCGGAAUCUUGCAGAGAUGUAGGAGUGCCCUUCGGGGAACCGGUGAGAAGGUGCUGCAUGGCUGUCGUCAGCUCGUGUCGUGAGAUGUUGGGUUAAGUCCCGCAACGAGCGCAACCCUUGUCGUCAGUUGCUAACAGGUCAAGCUGAGCACUCUGGCGAGACUGCCGACGUUAAGUCGGAGGAAGGUGGGGAUGACGUCAAGUCCUCAUGGCCCUUAUGCCCAGGGCUACACACGUGCUACAAUGGCCGGUACAAAGGGUCGCUAACCUGCGAAGGCAUGCCAAUCCCAAAAAACCGGUCUCAGUUCGGAUAGGAGUCUGCAACUCGACUCCUUGAAGUCGGAAUCGCUAGUAAUCGCGGAUCAGCACGCCGCGGUGAAUACGUUCCCGGGCCUUGUACACACCGGAGUGC